This 220-nucleotide long non-coding RNA is filed under the name Elaeis guineensis (African oil palm). RNAcentral's name for it is "long non-coding RNA (EGUI_LNC030405)". The record is from RNAcentral. Lineage: Eukaryota; Viridiplantae; Streptophyta; Magnoliopsida; Arecales; Arecaceae.
UUCAUUCCAGAAACAAGUAUUUUUUUCCGUGCAUUUUUCCCAGGGAAAAAGAGUGAAAAAACAUGCUGCAAGGACAAGACGUGAGAUAAUUAUUUUUUUCCUUCGGCAAGAAGCAUGCCGUGAUUUUUUGGCAUGUUUUUUCUACAUGAGAAAAAUUAAAAACACAUGCUUUUCUCAUUUGCAUUUGGAAACAAAUUUUUUUUUUCAAAGCCCAACAGCU